AGGACGAACGGCUGGCGGCGUGCUUAACACAUGCAAGUCGAACGAUGGCGAUGGUGCUUGCACCGUCUGAUAGUGGCGAACGGGUGAGUAACACGUGAGUAACCUGCCCUCCGUCUUCGGGAUAACCGCCGGAAACGGUGGCUAAUACCGGAUAUGAAUGCCUGCCGCAUGGUGGGUGUUGGAAAGAUUUAUCGGUGGGGGGAUGGACUCGCGGCCUAUCAGUUUGUUGGUGAGGUAAUGGCUCACCAAGGCGAUGACGGGUAGCCGGCCUGAGAGGGCGACCGGCCACACUGGGACUGAGACACGGCCCAGACUCCUACGGGAGGCAGCAGUGGGGAAUAUUGCACAAUGGGCGAAAGCCUGAUGCAGCGACGCCGCGUGGGGGAUGACGGCCUUCGGGUUGUAAACCUCUUUCAGCAGGGAAGAAGCGAGAGUGACGGUACCUGCAGAAGAAGCGCCGGCUAACUACGUGCCAGCCGCCGC
RNAcentral lists this ribosomal RNA (483 nucleotides) under uncultured bacterium. RNAcentral describes it as "bacterial SSU rRNA". It matches the Rfam family "Bacterial small subunit ribosomal RNA", at positions 35 to 518 of the family's 1533-position model. The record is from RNAcentral.